UACGUAGGGGGCAAGCGUUGUCCGGAUUUAUUGGGCGUAAAGCGCUCGCAGGCGGCUCGAUGCGUCGUGCGUGAAACACCCCGGCUCAACUGGGGAGGGUCGUGCGAUACGGUCGGGCUGGAGGCCCGUAGGGGGAUGCGGAAUUCCGGGUGUAGUGGUGGAAUGCGUAGAGAUCCGGAGGAACACCAGCGGCGAAGGCGGCAUCCUGGACUGGUCCUGACGCUCAGGAGCGAAAGCAUGGGGAGCGAACAGG
Molecule: ribosomal RNA, 253 nt
Filed under: uncultured bacterium
Lineage: Bacteria
Description: partial 16S ribosomal RNA
Rfam family: Bacterial small subunit ribosomal RNA
Source: RNAcentral